AAUAGAUACCCGGGUAGUCCACGCCGUAAACGAUGUCGACUUGGAGGUUGUUCCCUUGAGGAGUGGCUUCCGGAGCUAACGCGUUAAGUCGACCGCCUGGGGAGUACGGCCGCAAGGUUAAAACUCAAAUGAAUUGACGGGGGCCCGCACAAGCGGUGGAGCAUGUGGUUUAAUUCGAUGCAACGCGAAGAACCUUACCUACUCUUGACAUCCAGAGAACUUAGCAGAGAUGCUUUGGUGCCUUCGGGAACUCUGAGACAGGUGCUGCAUGGCUGUCGUCAGCUCGUGUUGUGAAAUGUUGGGUUAAGUCCCGCAACGAGCGCAACCCUUAUCCUUUGUUGCCAGCGGUUCGGCCGGGAACUCAAAGGAGACUGCCAGUGAUAAACUGGAGGAAGGUGGGAAUGACGUCAAGUCAUCAUGGCCCUUACGAGUAGGGCUACACACGUGCUACAAUGGCGUAUACAAAGAGAAGCGACCUCGCGAGAGCAAGCGGACCUCAUAAAGUACGUCGUAGUCCGGAUUGGAGU
Molecule: ribosomal RNA, 527 nt
Filed under: uncultured bacterium
Lineage: Bacteria
Description: bacterial SSU rRNA
Rfam family: Bacterial small subunit ribosomal RNA
Source: RNAcentral